UACGUAGGGUGCAAGCGUUAAUCGGAAUUACUGGGCGUAAAGCGUGCGCAGGCGGUUAUGUAAGACAGAUGUGAAAUCCCCGGGCUUAACCUGGGAACUGCAUUUGUGACUGCAGAGCUGGAGUGCGGCAGAGGGGGAUGGAAUUCCGCGUGUAGCAGUGAAAUGCGUAGAUAUGCGGAGGAACACCGAUGGCGAAGGCAAUCCCCUGGGCCUGCACUGACGCUCAUGCACGAAAGCGUGGGGAGCAAACAGG
This 253-nucleotide ribosomal RNA is filed under the name uncultured bacterium. RNAcentral describes it as "partial 16S ribosomal RNA". It matches the Rfam family "Bacterial small subunit ribosomal RNA", at positions 524 to 776 of the family's 1533-position model. The record is from RNAcentral.